Molecule: unclassified non-coding RNA, 276 nt
Filed under: Sebacinales sp.
Lineage: Eukaryota; Fungi; Basidiomycota; Agaricomycetes; Sebacinales
Description: partial contains 5.8S ribosomal RNA, internal transcribed spacer 2, and large subunit ribosomal RNA
Source: RNAcentral
CGCACCUUGCACCCCAUGGUAAUCCGUGGGGUACACCUGUUUGAGUGUCACGUUAAUCAUCGCACCGAGGAUGUAACAGUCUUCGGGACGGAUCUGGAUGCUGCGGUGCUUCGUUGCACGGCUCGUCCGAAAUGCAUUAGCCGUCUGAGGACUCCGAGCUAAUGGUGUAAUACUUGAUGUUGCGCCGCCUGCUGGAUGCCCGGUUGAAGGCUCACAAAGACCAGACUGUAAUAAGACUUUGGCCUCAAAUCAGGUGGGACUACCCGCUGAACUUAA